CACGCCGUAAACGAUGAAUGCUAGGUGUUGGGGGUCAAACCUCGGUGCCGAAGUUAACACAUUAAGCAUUCCGCCUGGGGAGUACGGUGGCAACACUGAAACUCAAAGGAAUUGACGGGGACCCGCACAAGCAGCGGAGCAUGUGGUUUAAUUCGAUGCAACGCGAAGAACCUUACCAGGGCUUGACAUCCUCGGACGACACUAGAGAUAGUGUUUUCUCUUCGGAGACUGAGAGACAGGUGG
This 243-nucleotide ribosomal RNA is filed under the name uncultured Eubacteriales bacterium. RNAcentral's name for it is "uncultured Clostridiales bacterium partial 16S ribosomal RNA". It matches the Rfam family "Bacterial small subunit ribosomal RNA", at positions 796 to 1041 of the family's 1533-position model. Lineage: Bacteria; Bacillati; Bacillota; Clostridia; Eubacteriales. The record is from RNAcentral.